Molecule: ribosomal RNA, 435 nt
Filed under: uncultured bacterium
Lineage: Bacteria
Description: partial 16S ribosomal RNA
Rfam family: Bacterial small subunit ribosomal RNA
Source: RNAcentral
AACGAACGCUGGCGGCAGGCCUAACACAUGCAAGUCGAGCGGACAUCUUCGGAUGUUAGCGGCGGACGGGUGAGUAACGCGGGGUAACUUGCCCUUUGCUUCGGAAUAGCCUCGGGAAACUGGGCGUAAUACCGGAAGUGCCCUUUGGGGGUAAGAUUUAUCGGCAAAGGAUCGGCGCGCGUUGGAUUAGGUAGCUGGAGGGGUAAUGGCCUACCAAGCCGACGAUCCAGAGCUGGUGUGAGAGGAUGAUCAGCCACACUGGGGGUGGGACACGGACCAGACUUCUACGGGUGGCAGCAGUGGGGACUCUUAGACGAUGGGGGAGUCCCUGAUGUAGCCAGGCCGCGUGAGCGAUGAAGUCCUUAAGGUUGUAGAGCUCUUUCACCGGGGAAGAUAAUGACGGUACCCGGAGAAGAAGCCACGGCUAACUACGUG